ACUUUCUUCACCCACAGAACCUUCUCAAAGAGGCAGCUCAGGCGGUCUCUCUUUCUUCCUUUGGCCUAAUUCAGGCCCAUCCUGUUCAUCUUGGCUGGGAGUGCCCGCCUGCUCCUGAAGUCAGACCUGUCAGCCAAGCCUGCACCCACGCCUUCCUGCUCUGCUGGGGAUAAAAAAGGGAAGCAGUGCCCCACUCGGCAGGGGGAGGGCGUCCACAGACAGCACUGCUUUUCAGAAAUGCAGCUCCUCUCCCCUGUCUUUCUCCGUCCUUGACAGGGGCUGCGGUUGGGGGCUCACUGGGCUCUGCUAUCCCGGGAGCCUCACAGACUGACUCCCGCCCGCUUUCAAGUAUUCUGCCCUGAGCUCCCUUCCCCACCACACCUCCCCGCCUCCAGACGGUAGAAGCAGGGAGGAAAGUCACAGCCAGGAAAAGUUGGAAUCAAGACAUUAAGAAGACGAAAAUCCCUAUAGGCGUCCGAGGUGUCGGGCCUCAGGGCAGCGCCUGGGUAUUCAGGGCUGUACGAAGUGUGAGAAAGGAAGUGGUCAAGGACAGGAUCCGAGAGUCCCGCCCAGGAGCACCAGCAGCCCUGGGAGCAGGCCAGCCGGGGAGGAUGCCUCUUUCCCCUCCCCCACACUUUCAUCUUGGUAGGCUCUUCCAUAUACACAGCAGGGCGGAGAAGCCGGAGGAGGAGGUAUUUGGGUGAGGGGGUUGUCUCCUUUCCUUGGGAUCCUCAGCAAGUGAGUAGUGAGUUAAAAUAAUACCUGUCUUAACACAGUUGGGAAUUCCAGGGAAGGUUGGUCCACCACCUCCUGUCUCCCCUAUCCCUCAAAAGGCCGACAGCAAAGGGGAGUGACUUCGGGGGCAGGCGGGCCCUCCCAGCCAGCAUGCAAUGGCCUAGGACCAGACUUGGGGGGGCGGGGCCCAGAGCACCUGUGGCAGAUCCCCAUCCAACCAUAUUCAACCCCCUCCAGUCCCAACAUGGGGCCCAAUCCUGCUUGCCUUCCUAAAUAUCACGGCAACUCGCAGCCACGGUGGGAUUUCGGAGCAGGUGGCUGGCCCUUUAUCCUUUUCCUACUUUUGGCCAGUACAGCAGCCCCUUAUCUCACUGCCGAGGCUGGCUGCGUGCGUUGACUGGGUGAGAGGGCAGAUAAGAGGCAACAGAAAUGACCUUCCAGAAAGAGACUGAGUCUUCUGCAGUAGUAGGGAAAGAUGGGGGGGGCGGGCCCUGGACCAAGGAGACAUCCGCACCAACUCAGACUUCUGUUCAUUUGCUCUGAGACGCUGGGGACACCCUAUAGCCAUCUCCUCCAGAUGGCCCCAGUCUUUUAGGCACUCCCAGAUUCUGUCCCACCGAAGGCCCGCUUAGCUUAUGGAGGGAGGAUGCAAGUGUGAAGCCCUAGAAAUCAUCCUGCUCUUCCUGAAUCUGAGACUGUCAGCCACCCCUCCCCCGGCCCCCCGACCUUUGCUUCCCCGGAUGUGGACUCAGAAUCUCCCCGCAGUCCCAUGGCCUGGUCUUUCUGCACCCUCCUCCUACCCUGGUAUCUCUGUAGCCAUCUGCAGGGCCUGCUUCAGCCCAGCUGUGGCAGGAAGGUUGGGGGAGGGGGACAAGGACAAACCAGCCAUUGUCACCCACAUCCGUGGACCCUAGCUCUGGGGUGAGUCUAAGUGCCACACAGAGGGCAAUUGCUGGCCCUCUGUGGGCAUGCUGGGCAGGCUCCAAAGGUCCCUACCAAUGUCUCAGGCUCAGGGGUGCGGGGUGGGGGUGGGGCAAGAUGUCAGAAGCCUCUUCCAGCUCUGGAAUUCUCCGAGUAUGGGGGGAAAGGGGUGGGGGUGGGGGACUGCUAAGGACCUUUGUUCUU
Molecule: long non-coding RNA, 1860 nt
Organism: Zalophus californianus (California sea lion)
Lineage: Eukaryota; Metazoa; Chordata; Mammalia; Carnivora; Otariidae
Exons: 3
Source: RefSeq, a predicted model, not a curated record